UCUCUAAGAUGGCUGCUGAUAUUUUGUCAAUCCCAAUUUCUACUGUUCCUUCUGAUUCUGUAUUUGACACUGGAAGUAAAAGGAUAGAUAGCUACCGGAGUUCACUGCGACCUGUUACACUUGAAGCCCUUAUUUGUGCUAAGGAUUGGCUUCAAUAUGGAUCACCAGCAUCAUCAUUGGAUAAUUCUAAUGCAAUUGUGAAAAUGGAAUAUUAGUUAUAUAGGAUUCAGUUUACAUCCUAUAGCGUAGAUAUUUUGACUUGGAUUUAGGCUUGUGAUCCAUAUUGAAGCCAAUCCUUAGCAC
Molecule: unclassified non-coding RNA, 303 nt
Filed under: Hevea brasiliensis (rubber tree)
Lineage: Eukaryota; Viridiplantae; Streptophyta; Magnoliopsida; Malpighiales; Euphorbiaceae
Source: RNAcentral